UUCGGGCGGAGCAUAGGGGACGAUGGGUGUCCUUCCCCGGGGAGGAGGGCUCGGGCAGCUCUCGGCGGCCCACAGGAAACGGGAGGCUGCGGCUCCCCAGGGCGUUGCCCUCAGACCCACACCGCGCCCAGGACCCGGGUAAGCAGAAGGAAAUGACCCCGCCCAUGAGAACACAGGGCACUGAGACAAAGUCCAAGAAAGCUCUAAGAGUGGAGGGAAGCAGCGGAGCAAAAGGAAGAGUCAGAGCGACACCCGCGCGGCGGCAUUUCCAAACAGACCUGCCAGCGCCAAGAAACAGGUCGCGCCCCCCAUCCAGCUGCAUCCUGGACCCCACGCAGACGCGGAGCAGGACCCACCUCCCACGCGCUCCCCAAACCCUCACCGCAAGCGGAGCGGCUGACACUGACCAAGUCCCACACAGCCUGGGACUCCAAGGUCGAAGCCGCCGGCCGCUCACCCUCCGCGAGGCUCUGACGGACGGCGCCCUUCCCAGGCUCGCGAGCACUCCCCGCCAACGGCUACCCAUCGCGGUCCGCCUCCCAGGCAUUGGGCCCGCAGCGACUCCCGCCUGCAGGCCCAGAGGCACAGUCGCUCUCCCAGUCCCCGAGGGGACAAGAGACACCUGCAGCACGGCAAUCCCCUACACCUGUGAGGCCCUCUAAGCCCGCAAGGCCCCCUACACCUGCAACCUCCCUUCACCUACAAGAUCCCUGCACCUGCAAGGACCCCUACACCUGCAACUUCCCUACACCUGCAAUCUCCCUACACCUGCAACCUCCGUACGCCUGCAACCUCCUUUCACCUACAAGAUCCCUAAACCUGCAACCUCCUUACACCUGCGUGAGCGUCACCCCGGCUGAGGCGCUGGCAGAAGGCGGUGCGGGUGGAGCCUUCGCCAACGUCCUGGGCCCCCUGAGUGCUGCAUGCCAGUCCUACCAGCCGCUCGGUCAUCUGCCACCGCCCAGCAAUGGCUUCAGCAUGCAGUCCCUGCUAGGGGACUCCAGGGAGGAGCAUCCUGGCCAGGGCUGGUGCCACAGAGCAGCCCAGCUUCUGCAGGCAGGGAACUGCUGCUAAGGAAGAAGGCAAGUGGCUUCUAUCUCUUCUUAUCAGAUCCUCUUACUGACUCUUUUGAGCUCUAAAAAUUUUUCAGCUGUUUCUACUGGACUCUUUCAGGAAGACAAUUGUAUCUGUCUAAUAUGAACACUUCUAAUUAUUUUAGACUUUUUUGUCUUCAGCUAAGGCCUUCAAACCUUAAUACCACAGAACUCGGUCACAGACUGCAGCAGCCACCACUCGUCUAUCGCUUGUGUACCAACAGGACUGUGCCAUCAACAGAAACACCACAGAGCUACAUCAAUGGGGGUGCUGUGAAAACCGGUUCAAAACAGGCAAAUGGAUCUACAUAACCAAACCGAAAGAGAGCAACGUAUGCACAAAUGGCAAUAAAUGAAUUUCAGAGUCUUAAAUGUCAGAAAUCACCAUAAGCAUCAGCAUCAGCUCAGAGACUUCUGGAAAAAACAGCAGGAAGCAAUAACGUUGAGUUAACAACUGAAACUUUUUCAGGUGGACGACUGGAGAGCCCAGCCAGAGCCUGUGCCAGGUACCUGCCCGUUGUGGUGUCGGCCCUGCCCUCCAGGGCCGAGCCCUUCUCCUGCCCGGGGACUGGUGUCACGGUCGAGGUGGUGUCUGCUUUAGCUAUCGUCACCUCUUUGGCCUUGGAGCUCUCCUCCCCACAGUGGGGACAAUAGCUGGCGUUAUUGACUCGAGAGGCACAGUCUUUGUGGAAACGGUGAGAGAUGCUGCUCUCGGGCUGACACUCCAUAAAAUUACCCUAAAAAUGGGAGGACAAAAAAAAAUUUUUGUUUUAAUUGGGGUUAAUAUUUAGAAAAAUAAAGUACUACUAAACUGGC
Homo sapiens (human) is the source of this 1910-nucleotide long non-coding RNA. The record is from Ensembl. NCBI's taxonomy places the organism in Eukaryota, Metazoa, Chordata, Mammalia, Primates, Hominidae.